RNAcentral lists this ribosomal RNA (270 nucleotides) under uncultured Staphylococcus sp. RNAcentral's name for it is "partial 16S ribosomal RNA". It matches the Rfam family "Bacterial small subunit ribosomal RNA", at positions 90 to 355 of the family's 1533-position model. Lineage: Bacteria; Bacillati; Bacillota; Bacilli; Caryophanales; Staphylococcaceae. The record is from RNAcentral.
CGUUAGCGGCGACGGGUGAGUAACACUGGGUAACCUACCUAUAAGACUGGGACAACUUCGGGAAACCGGAGCUAAUACCGGAUAAGAUAUCGAACCGCAUGGUUCGAUAGUGAAAGAUGGUUUUGCUAUCACUUAUAGAUGGACCCGCGCCGUAUUACCUAGUUGGUGAGGUAACGGCUCACCAAGGCAACGAUACGUAGCCGACCUGAGAGGGUGAUCGGCCACACUGGAACUGAGACACAGUCCAGACUCCUACGGGAGGCAGCAGUU